UGGGAUCACUGCACGUCGACUCUUGUCCUACAAGGCCACAUCUUGUUAGUGAACACCCAAACAAGAUGGGUAAUGAUUCAGCAAGAUUCUCUUUUCUUUUCUCCUGCUUUCUUUUUGUCCUAAUCUUCCAAAACUAUGCCGUACAGCAAAAUUUCUUUUAGGAGAUUAAAUUCAAAGAUGAAAAAGAAAGAGAAAAAAGAAAAAAUAGAGCAGAACUUUAGACGAACCAAAAAAUAUCAUGGUGGCAUAGCAGUUCCAUUUGAAUAGAAAUUUGUUGGGCAAAGUUUCUGAGAGAGCAAUAUCCUAAUCAUAAUAGAGUCGCAAAAACUUUCGACUGAACUCCUAGAAUGCAAUAGACAGUUCUAUAAUAACUUUUUUUUUUUUUUUUGCUGCAACGAUAACAUACCUACAACCUAAUCUAUCAUAUUCUACAGGGAGAGGGAGCCUAAAAGAGGCUGUAUAAGAAGCUAGCAGCUGUACAGACCCGACUAAACCAAAGGAGUGCUCUGGCACCUCCUUUGAAUUUUUUUCACUACAGGUGCGUUUCGAACCCCCAACCUACAACCCAAAGAGGGACUUGAUCUCUUUUUGGUGUCCACUGAGCCAAAGUUUGGUGGCUCAGUUCAAUAAUAACUUUCAGAAAAAAAAAACAACAGAAAAAGAAACCUCCCAAACACAAGGAUUCAGCAAAAAGAAAAGGUAACAGAUUAAAGUCACCAUUUUCUAUCACCAGAAAUAUCAGAAGACCAGAAUUUAUCCACACACCUCCAGUUUUACGAACAACAGGGAUCGAACCAUAUCUCAUUGCUGUAAGUUGAGUGAGUCCACAUGGCUCAAAAAUUGAAGGGACCAAAAUAAAAUCUGCACCAGCAUAAAUCUGCAAUUUCAAAUGAACCAUUUAAUACAAGUGCAACUGGAAAAUAUAUGUGAAACUGGAGAGGAAGUUCCACAAGUGAAUACCAAGUGAGACAGAGGUUCAUCGUAGGUCAGGCAAAGGCGUGCACGGUCAUUAUGAGAAGAAUGCAAUUGAUUUGCCAAAUUAACAAAAUCAUUUUGGAUGCGUGGAUCAGGAGCCGAACCCAGCAGGACAACCUGCACCAUAGUCCGUUAAAACACCAAAUACAGGGUUGACAUAUCAACCACUUCCUAAUUGGAAACAAGCAUCAGAACUUUCAACUCAUCGAUGUAUAUGCACAUUAUGGUCAUUUUAGUAUGAUUUACUUCACAAUCAUACAGCUCAUUUAUCCACCCAAUGCUCCAAACCACCCAGAUAGAGAUACACAGGUAAGUUGACAUCACAUGUGAAUAUACAAAAAGUAGGCUAAAGGGCAAGUUUAGAUUGAUAUCAACAACACGUCAAAACUAAAAAAUUUCAUUGUUAUUAAGAAACUACAAAAGUCCAUGGUAUAGAUUCAUAUCUGGUGAAGAGUCAAAUGCAAUCCUCGAACAAUCAGAUGCAGGGUAAGCAAUCAGUUAAAUUUGAACCCUAUGAGCAACCGGAGAAGGAAGUAAGAAGCAAAAAACCUGUCCACCGCGGUCCAAAGUGCGCCAAAUUGCAUGUUUUAUUAGGUGGAUCCCUUUCUGGUGAGUCAAACGACUGAUAAUUCCUACCAGAGGCAGGUCUGCCCUUUUCAAGCCAAGCUUCUGCUGCAAAACUUCUUUAGCAGCCCUUUUGCCUUCAAUAACAUUUUCUGAAGUGUAAGAUACCUGCAAUAAUUAGUAAUGCAUUAGCAUUAUACAAAUUUAGACAGGAGAGAAUUUUCUAGUUUCAAAAAAUGGCCUCCCUUUUAUGGUAUAUUGUCAGACCAUGGCUGGAGACUCAAAAAAGUUUAAAAAAAACAUUUGAGGUCCUCUAUGGAAAUUCUCCUCCUCUUAAAUGUUUCCUCAAUUAAUUUAUUUCUUCUUUACAUAAGGAAACCCAAAAAUUUGCAGUAAGUGACCAAACAUUGUCUUCAUAGGCAUAAUCAACAUAUAGAGCCAGCAACAUACUAGGCAGUCACAUAAUGCAUAGAGCAUUCAAACACAUAUCAAACACAAAUUUGGAAUGCUUGGGCCCCAAUUAACAUAUGGAAAACUUACCCCUUCGCAAGAGCAUAUCACAAAUUGAAGCUUAAGAAACCACAGUACUAGAGCACUCUUCAUGCAUUAGUUAUGAUGGAUGAUAACAUCAAUGCUGCAGAUUUAGCCUAUCAAAAACUAGAAUUUGCUCAUUAAACAAAUUAUAGCUCCAUAGAAUCGAAAGUAAGAAGAUUAAAUAGCUGCAAAAGGGGACCAAAAUUUUAUGCAAAGCACAAAGAACAUUUCAAUUGAUUCGUUCAAGAAAGCAGAAAGUCAUCUAGAUCAUCUAAGAGCAGCUGAAAUAUACAGGACAUGCACAAAAAGACUCCCAUAGAGCCACUUAUCGUCCUUUAGCUUCUACCAAGAUUAAACCUCAGACUGCUUAGUUCAUUACACACAAUGUUUUUUAGCAGUAACUAAUCUCUUAUCUUACAGUGUCUCCUUCAGUUCUGUUUGUACCUUCAGUAGCCUUACCCUAGCCUGCUGCUCCACAAAGCUCUAAAUUCUAUCAUCAUCUCCAGAAAAGUAUCUCAUUCUGUACUAGAUAAAACCUAUCCCCAGUGCAAAUAUCCAGCAGUACCAAAUAAUUGAUCAAUAUCAAUUGGUGUUGAUGUUAUUUAGACGGCAAGGCACACUAAAUCUGCUAAAAGUUGAACAAAGUACUGAAGUAGCAAAUACCAUAACCUUCCUAAAGUCAGGCAUCCAUAAAAUAACAAGUCAAUGAUAUAACAAAAUGGAAUUUAACAAGAUAGAUUUAGUUUUACUCCAUUAUGGGUAAAAAGAUGAAUGAAGGUACCAGAGAAGCAGGGAAAAAGAAGAUCAAAAAAUUUUAAUACUUACAGGAAUGAAUUUAUCAUUAUAAGGGUCCCAUAUGUCUGGGUCAAUGCCAUUUAGUAUUCCAUGGAACUUGUAAAGAUGAGAAGCAACUGCAGGAUUUCCUGAGACCUCCUGCGAAUAAGUGGGGGAGACCUAAAGCAAAAGACACAUUCAGAGUCUUAUGCCGUCUGUGAUACUGAUUGAAGAAACUUUUUUCAUUGCAACAGAAGGUAAAGAAUAUAAUCAUUAACAGGCUGGAAAAUGAGUAUAGAGUAUAUCAGGCACUCACAGUUGUAGCCUUAUCAGUGUAUGCCAUUGCUUUGCCAAUCAAAUGUGCUCCAAAUUCGAGGUUAUGUAUUGUGAAAACAAUGCGGGCUUUACUAAGACCAUAGUGCAUAUAUUGUUCUUUGAAUAACCAUGCAACUGGAGCACUAGACCAAUCAUGACAAUGAAUAAUGUCCUGUCAAAACAAAAGUAACAGUAAAUGUCAUCAAAGCAAUGGACUCUCAAUUUUGUUCCUUGCACGUACUCUAAUCAGGCCUUUGUACGUACUGCCUACAAAUUUCUUGGAUAUUAUACAGUUAAAAAAUUGGUUUUACUGCUCGACAGACAGAGAGGACAAAUGGAAGCACCAGGAGAAAGGAAAAGAAGAUAGCAAGAAUAUACUUACUCUAUGUACCUUUACAAAGAACUAACAUGAAAAUCAAAAUCAGAACAUCAGAAGUUAAUUACACCUUCCUUUGUUUUCUCAAAAGAAGUAGGCUCCAGCUUGGUUCAAACUAAAAUUGGUUUUAAGGUAUUCACAUUUAGCUUUUACCUCUAAAAUAUUUUUUUUUUAUUUUGAACUUGAGAAAUGGUUCUUCAACAGGAAAAGUCCUGUGUAAAUAAUUUUUUUACUAACUUGUAGGUUAUUUUUUUCCAUGUCAAUGGGAAGGUGACAUUGGCAGCAACAAGAGUAAAAAUAUAGUUUUGGAGAACAGUGGCUUCAGCAUUUGGGCCAACACGUGCUCUCUUUUAAACUUUGAAACAGCUUUUCCAGAAUGUAUUCUUUUCAGAAGCUUUUUAGCUUCUCCAGAAAAGAAAAGUCAUCUCUGAUUAUGUGCAUCUUUUUAGAUAUCAGAGCAAUCUAUACGCAAGAAGUGCCUCCAUUCACACAAUGCAUCACUCAUCAACAUGAUCAGAGAAAUUGGAUAUAGUACUUUAACAAACCACUCAUACAUCAGAUCUGAACAAAACUAAAAUUUAUUUUCUUAAUGGUGAAUGACUGUUACUUUAUGAAAAAUUAGACUUACUGGAUGGAAUCCACUUUGCAAAAGGAACUCAAGAGCAACAUGACAAAAGAAACCAAAUCUUUCACCAUCGUUAUGGCAACCAUAUAUACAGCCUUUCCCAAAAAACCUGCCACAGGCAAAUGAAUGUAUAAUACAACAGCCAUUUCCCCUAAACAAAUUUACAAAGACCUAGGGAAAGAACAUAUAUGAUGUAUAAUUGUACUGAAUAUGUGAAGUAACUGAGAAACAACUUCAUUCUCUUUUUUAUCAUCCUUCAUAAGGUUGAUUUUCCCCACUCAACAUUUCAGAGAGAACGAUAGAAAAAAUGUAUCUAAAAACAUAGUGAAACUGAAAUCUCAAACUGCACCAAACAAAUUGACAUUAGUUAGCCAAUUAUCAAUUCAUAAUAAAGACUUCACUCACUGCACCAUUUCAUUUUCUCAGGUAGACAACUUAGAAGUUGAUCUACCCUUCUACUUGUUGGAAGAAAGCAAACAUGCACAUCCAGAGACAAAGCAAAACUCUAGACUCAAACGAUAGAAACAGAUGGCAUGAAAAGUUCUCCUCUUUACUAGAUGAUAACAUAAGUGAAGCUUACAAUAAAAUGCACAAAAUAGGCAAAAUAAUAUAAACCUUCAUUAUGAAAUUGUAAAGGAAUCACAUGCCAAGGUUCAUCAAAUUCGUAGUAGCAAUCAAGUUGUUGGAACAUGUAUAAGGAAAGAAAGGAUCUAAAUAAAAAGUCACGUCUCUGUUGAUUCAGAACUCAAAAGAAGAAGAGACACAAUACAUUACUUCAGGAAACAUAAAUUUCCAAGCAAAAGGAAAUACCAAGUUUCCCAUUUCUCCAAUGAUAUGGCAACCAGGAACAAAUUCUCAAACUGAGUAAAGCUUCUAUGUGUUCCUGUCAAAAAUUUUAGACGAGACAGCUAUACUAAUACAGUUUUUUCCAGAAAUUUGUUCUAUCUUGUUUAGCUUAUUUUCUGUGAGACAAUCAGAACCUAAAGAUCCGAAACAACCUUUUAAGGGAUAACAUUUCCAGAGAGAAAGAGUUUAUAGUGCAAAAUAUGAAGGCGGGGAUAGGCUAUCAUCUUAAAUGAUCUAUCAACUAUGAUGAGUUGACUCAUAUCAAUUGAAUGGUCAACUGAGAUGUAGAUUCCAAGACCACAUACUUAGUAUAAUUACUUGCAAUGGAAAAAAAAAAAUAGCCCCAUUUAGUUGUAAUUACUUUUUUCUAAUUUGACCAACUCUUUAGUUCCAUUUUGUAUUUUGAAACUGCCAAGAAGAAACAUGCACUUCAACACAAAUUGAUUUUCGUGAGAGCUAUGGGUACAUAAGAGAGGGAAGUAAAGCCCUCUCAAGGAUAAGAAGAUAUGAGGAGGCCAUAAGUUGGGAUACAAGUUACCCAUAUUAAUUACCCAUUUUUCAAAGAACAAAUCAAGAAACAUAAUACCUUUCAUGUCAUGUGAUUUGUGUAGAAAGAACUUUCCUACAAAUAACUCAAAAGACUAAUUUUAUCAAGAACAUUUGAAUGUACCACAAUAAUAAAAAGAAUCAGGAAGCAUUUUAGCAAGAGAAGCUAAAAUAUUGAGUAUAUUACUGGUCAUCAAGUACUCCCUAAAUAGUGUUUGCACUAUACAGCAAAAUCGUAGUAGAAUUAAACAAGGGGACCACAGAAAAAAAGGAGUAUGGGUAUUACAGCAAUUACCCAUUUUGAGGCUCCAAAAAGUAGACAGAGAGGCCUUCCACCUUGCCAAACCAAACUUUAAUUUCAGUCCCACCCCAAGAAUAGCUUUUAUGAAACUGAAAAUCCUUGACCUGUUUCAAAUGACAUAGAGCUAAUCAGCUCUCGAGCAAAAGGUUACUAGUUCAGCCAACAGAUUAUGAGGAAGCACUUCCUAUAAAAAUAACAUCUAAGAUGGUUUUCCUGAUUGGCUAACAAUAUUAGCAUAAAAAGAGAACUGGUCAUACAGAACAAUGGAUCAGGCACUAGAUCUCUACAUUUCAGGAAGCAAAUAUCCAGAAAUAUUGUGUAAUAUACAUCUGUCUAUAUAUUAGUGUAGUAAGACUUCUGUUGAGUUAGAAAUAAUCAAUGAUGUGCAAUCAUCAUAGUACUGCAAUGACUGCAAUAGUCAGACUGUUUCAACUGCCCAAUGACGGCAUUUAAAAAAUAUGACUGAUCCAUAAAAGUACACAUUUAAUACAUUGGAAGAAAUAUUCCAUCAAACUAAGAGAUCAGAAAAGUAAAUAAAUAGAAUCUGCAGGCCACUAUUCACAGCCGUAAGGAAGACAUGACACCCAGCCAUAUAAACAGAUGAAAACUUACAUGGCUAAAGUUCAAACAGUCAUACUUCGGAAGGAUAACAUCUACACUAUGUUUUAAAUCCUGUACAGCACGGGAAAGGCUAGUGACAACAUCACCAAGGCCUCCCACCUGUUAAAGCAUAGAGAAAAUUGCAAAAAUGAGUAGAUGACCACAGCCUUCAUCAAAAUGGUUUUGAAAUUACAAGCAUGAAUCAACUGCAACACCAAUCCUAAAUGGUACAAAUCACAUGCAUCACAAAAAAGAAGUUUCUCCCAAACCAUCAGUAUAUCAGAGAAAGAAACAGUUGAAACUGUUACUACUUUCUUGAUAACAGUUGGAGAAAUUAAUCAAGGACAAAUGAGCAAGUGUGUUGUGUUCACUUUUUGACAUAUCUGAAAAAACCUUGAAACCAACCUUUGCAAUGGGAGCCAUUUCAACUGAAAUAUGCACAAUAUGCAUCGGGGGUUCCUUGAUAACUCCUCCAAUAACAGGUAUGUGAUAGUCCAUGCCAUUCUUGUUGUCAAAAAUUCCACCAUCCUCUUUCUCAGAGAAUACAAAGUCCAUCAUAUAUGCAUCUAAAGGAACCUUAACUAUGGGAAAGAAAAAGGCAUAAGAAUAUUAUUUUGGAUGUAUUCUUAUUCAAGGUUUACUUGCAAAUGAAUAAAAGAUACAUCCAGCAUGUAUAUAGUCUUAAGAGUGCUGAGAAAAUGGAAUCCAUAUUCACGCAAUGUAUCAUGAAUACAGGUGGCUGCAGAUAUGCAUCACUUAUUGUUAAUCUUCCUACUAAGCCAUGAAUUGGUUCUACCAAACUGUGCAUGUAAAAUUUACAGGAUGCUACUUUUUUUAUUUGUCAUGGUUGCGUUCCAGAAAAGUUUUAUGCAGAAAAGUUUUAUGCAAUUCAGAAAUUUUAGUUACACAUCAUAAGUUUGUAUUGUAAGCAUCCAAAACAUCACAGACGACUAUUAGCCACCUUAUCUUGGGUCAGAGCAAAUGUAUGUGCAGAAAAGGUAAACAGAGGUCUGCCGAAAGGUUCUGAAAGAACAAAUUAAAUAAAAUUUUGAUCUAGGGAAGCAAAGACUUCAGUCAGUUCUUCCCCAGAUGAAAAAUGCCUAGCCUUGUUAAAUAUCAAAAUGCAAGCAGGAAACAGAAUAAUCUGUUAAAGAAAACUAAUAAACCUAAAAAUACUUCCUCGCUGUACAUAGUAGCAAAAAAUACACACCAGUUGCUUUAACAUGAGAACUUUGAUCAGCAGGCAACAUUCUCUGUGGUGGCAAUGGACCCAUACGGUGAGUCCAACGAUUGAAUGAGAAUCUGAACCAAAUUUCAGGCUUCCCAUUCAAGACUGUGUUGGUAGGAUUAUAGAAAACAGUUGCAGCAUUCCCAGCUUGGACAUCAAGAGGUUCAGUGUAGACAAUAUGCUUUUGAGAUAAAAGAAAUGUUUUCAAAGUUCUUUCCUUUGUUUCUGCUUUCAUCCAUGCUGUCUUCUCAGCCUACAGAUGGCAGAUCACGAGAGAUUAAGAUUUAGAUAUAUCAACAGAAAUUUUUCCCAUAAAGAAAAAUUGAAUUGGACUGAUUUUUUUUUUUUUUUUUUUUGGGGUGGGGGGUUGGAAGGGCACAGGCAGCAGUUAGAAAAGAAUUUCUCUACUCCAUCAAUUUUGCAUCAUAAAGAAUUGAAAUCAAGGUGCCAUUUUGACAACAUCUUUUGAAUAUAUUUUUCAAAACAUCAACCUUAGCACGGAUGGCCUCCUCUCUGAUCCGUCUCUCCUCUUGGAGAUUUUGGUAUAUCUGAUGCUCUUCUUCAACCCAAUAGUGAUCCUCAGGAACACGCCGUGGAACAAUAGCACGGAAAUCCUGCCUAUCAUUGUUAUCGUAAACCCUUGCUUGGUGAGGUGGACCAUCAGCAAAAACCCAGUCCAAGACAAGGGCACGAUUAGGCACAACAACUGUAAACAAAAUAAAAAUAGAUCAGAUAAAAUUGCAACAUCAAUGGAAAAAGAAAGCUGAAGAAGAAGUGCAUGAAGUUUUCAGAGAUACAAACAUCUGUUGCAAAUAAUAUAUUAUGUCUCUGCAAGUAAAAAAAUGGUUCAAGUAAUUAUUAAAAAAAAAUUUUAAGUGUUUAUCAUAAACGCAAAAAUUCAGUAAAAGAUGCACAAAGAAAUCUCCAACAAAUAGUGCACAACUGUAGAUCUCCGAAUAGGAAGAAUUUCAGAGAUUCAUGAUAAAUUAAGAAUCUGCAUGAACUCUGAUAAACAGGUUCAUAUUAUCACUUCAGGAAAUGAGAUUCUCUCAAAGAAAUCAAUACUGAUGGAAUCCAAUUUUAUCCUUCAAAAGACUAGCUCUACCCAGUCUAAGUACCGAUUCCCCAAAUCCUAACAAACUAGAAAUCAGAUGAAGCACUUCUUAUGUAAGGUAAACAUUUUACUUGACAAAAAGAAUCUUCAUAUCAUACUCUAUCAUGAAUACCAACAUGCAUCAUUGAUCAUUCAAAUCACAUAGGAUAUCAUACUUACUUUCAGCAUACCACCAAUCUCCACUUUUCCUCUCAGAUCUGGCAAGCUUUGUUGAGAUGGACAGCCCAUCCUUCCACUUAUUGUGACCUCCAUGCAGCCAUAACUCCUCAGCCUGAAUCAAUGGACCUGAGCUCUUUUUAUAGAACAACCUGACCUUGUCCCCACCUUUAAAAUCGCUAGGUUCUAUGUGCCAGACAUCAUCAACAGACUUCGCAGCCUUUUUUAUCCACUCUUUCAACAUUUCCUGUCUCCUUGCAGCCUCCUCUCUUGCCUGUGCUCUAUCAGCCUCACGUGCAGCUUUCUCUGCUUCUAUGCGCUUCUGUUCUUCUUCAUGUCUUUUCCUUUCAGCUUCCUCCUUCGCAAGUUUCUCCAACUCCUUGCGUUUCUCCUCAAGCAAGAAAUCUUCAAACUCAGGAACAGUCAUACCACCUUCAACAGUAAUGCAGAAAUCUUUUUUGUCAUUAUUAUCAUAGACAUCUUUUCCAUUGUAGAACACAAAAUCUAUCUUGUAUGCUUCCUUAGGAACAUGGACCUGGCAAGCCCACCAAUCACCAUUGAGACUUGUCUUAUCCAACUUCGUAGUAAAAGACUUCCAUCGCCAGUCAUUAAAGGCUCCCAUUAUCAGUACGUCAGGUUCAUUACUCAAUGUGGAUAGACUUCUAUUGAGGAACACUUCUAUAUCUUGAUCAGGUUUUACCAAUUCAGGAUAACAGAAUAAUCUGUUUCCUUUCUCAAAAUUUUCUUCAGCAAGCCUUUCCAAUGCAUGUUUGCGUAAAUUUGCUUCCAUUUCCAUCCUUAACCUUAGAGAAGAAUCAUCCUUCUCCUUUUGCUCUGGUUUCAAGAAUUCAUCUUCACUCAUAUAUUUGACAAUUUGAGUACUCCCGAUCUGGUUUACAUCAUUUUUCUUAAUUGUGUCUUGCUGUUUUGGGUCAUCAAUUUCGACGGGCUUAUUACUUGCGAUAACAUCAAAUGGCUGAUCUUCUAAAGCAAUUCCACUCAAAUGACCGUCAACUUCAUUUUCCUUUGCAACUCCUCUUACUUCAUUUGUCUCAGUGAGGUCCUUAUUACCAGAUCUAAUUCUUCCAUUUUCUGUCAACUUGCUCAUUUCAGCAUCAAGUGGUGGUUUCCGGCUUGGCCAGUCCUCUUCAACAACAUUGUCAAUUUCAUUUUCAUAAUCUUCCUCCUUUGCUUGUUCAAUGUCAUCAUCCUGUUCUUCACUGGUUUGUUUGAGUUCAAUUCUAUUUUUGUUUGCAGUCCCAAGAUCCUUGGGUGGCAAGUUACUCUGACUUUCUUUCUGCCCAUUGUUUUUCUGAUCUCUUCUCUGGCUGCUUGUCCCUGGCUGUGUUUUUGGCACAAACCCUUUUGGUGUAGAGUCUUGAGUUCUAGGAGUUGGUGUUCUUCUUUGUCUUCUUCUAGAAAAAUCUACACAAUACAACAUUCAAGUAAAUAUUAAGAAAAUUAGAGAAAUAGCUCAAGUCCAAGACGUUCAAUGGAAACUUAAAAAUGAAAGCAACCAACCUGCACUUGCAGUGAUUCGAUGCGAAAUGUGAGCUACCCCAUAGUCCUUGCUCCAUAAAGAAGACUAUAACAAAUGCAUCAGAUAGGAUAAAAUAUAUCAACGCAGCAAGUCCACUAUAAUCCACAAUGUACACAAAAAGCUACCAGAAUUUGACAGAAAUAAUGAAACUGCUAUUGAUGUAGCAUUGAACAAAGUCUUAUAAGUAUUAACAGACAACUGGUUCUGCCUCAAAGGGCACACAACCAAAUAGAACGAACUGACCAGAAACAUAUGCCUACCAAGAAACAAUACAAAGACAAACCCUUUUAACAGUUUGUGAGACAGCUUAUAUGCAUACAAAAAAUGUUAAUGAAAAGUGGCCACUAAACUACGCCUAGAAAAGAGUAAGCUUUAGCUCAAGUGGUAAAGCCACCCCUCCGCAGGCCAUCUCCCACAGCUAGAAUGUCAUCACGAUCAGCGGCAAUGUACUCAGUUUGUGUUUGUGUGUGUGUGAAAGAGAGAAAGAGAGAGGAGGAAGGGGAAGGGGGAGGAGGCGAACACACUAGCCUUAAAGAGACAUCAAUCGGUUCUAAUUCCCAUCAAGACUGAUUAUAAAUUCAGAAAAAAAAAAGUGCAAUCCAAUCAAUAAUCACUACCUUAUACAAAAGGGUUCUACUGAAGAUAUCAUUUUGAGCCUCUGAUUGAUACAGGACAAGCUCUAUCUCUGCUUACGCAUAAAAGCAACGAGUAACCAAAUAUCAAGACAUGCACACACACAAGCACUUAUUAAAUGCUAAUAUGAACCCCUAGCAUCACUACCAUAGUUAACAGGGGAAAUUUGCUCACGAUAGUAGCAUUGUAAGAAAAUAAAACAGUGAGUGAGAAGCAAACUUUUACUUGGGAAGACAACAAGCUUGUGGUUCUAUGAGGCAGGAAUCCCAAAAAAGGCGUGAUCUUGAUGUGGGUUCUACCAUUAACCACUGCUCUACAACUCAAUGGUUUCUGCAGUGGCAAAGGGACCUCCAUUGGUGAUAUCUUCAAGAAUGUUUCAUGAGGGUCUGUCUUCUUUCUUUAACCUCGGAAUCGGUUAAAAACGUCCCCUUUUGAUUCUCUACUUGAUUGAAUUGAUAUGGAUAUUGAUAAUCCCUUCUGUACUUAAUCUCACUUUUUCUCUCUCUGUAUCUGUAGUAAUCAAUAAUAGUACAAGUAUGUGCUUACUAUUAUUAAACAAAUCGAAAAAAAAAUAUCUGCACUAAAAUCCAGAUGAGGUGCUCAGCCUGCUUUGGUAAUCAGCUUUUCUUACUAGUUAGUAUUAUUUCUUUCACGGAUAACAGAACGGGAGAGUCCAAAAAUUCUGAACCUUAGAAGCAAAAUGUUCCUUUUUUUUUCUUUUCUUUUCUGUCAUAAUCAAAUAUUUAACGAAAAAAAAAUGUAACGAAAUUGCGUGAAAUAAUCCUACGGCUGAGAAUGGUUAUCUACUGGAUUCAAGGGUGGUGAUUUUUGGGUUCCAUUACUAGUAAGUAUUACAUGCUCUUUUUUAUAUUUUUGGGUUUAAAUUUCUGGAGAUGGGAAGAUGUAGCUAGAAUGCGACAUUCCGGGGUGAUGCUGAUCCGGUUGGGGCAGGGCAAUCCAAUCAAAACUGGAAAUAAUAGGGUGGGGUCAAGUGACACUUGGAGAUAAAAAAGAGUUUGGUUUGUCUAAAGAAACGUACGAGGGUGGCUUUGAUUGAUUUAUUUAGUAUAAUGAUUCAAUGGUGAACUGAUAAGGCAUAUACUUUAAUUGAUCUUUGACUAGUUUGAUCUGGGAGAGGCAUAAUUGUUAAUCACUAAUUGAUCAUCUACUUUCCAAUAUUGCCAAACUGUCCCCAAGAAAUGACCCCCACCUAGAGGCACUGAUGAGAGCGAUGGCAAAGGAAAGGCAGGAGCAAAAGAGCACUCUUGAAACAUCCAGAGUCAGUGAAGAAGCUGUUCAGGUACAAGAUGAGGCUAGUUAGGGAGUGCUAGUUAGUGCUUAGUAGAGGCUCCCCUGUUCCCUCUUUCUAUGUCCCACAUCGUUUGUUGAGUGUGUACGUGAGUAGUACUUAAGUUCCAUGGGUGCAACCAAAAGUCAGCCUUUUGAUUGUAUCUUGUGGGGUUAAUUUAAGUGUCAUUGAUGAACUUCUUGUCAAAAAAAAAGGUACAAGAUGAGGCAAAAAUUAAUCCGAAGAUAGCUAUCUAUGAGGAUAAGGAUACCAAGCGGCGGGGAAGGGGCAUGGGGGCAAAGAAUCACAUGGGACAAGUUAAGACAGCUUGGGCUAUGAGCGACAGAGGCACAAGCAUACCAAUACUGGAUUUAGCUGAAACAAUAAGAUUAGUUUUGAUCAAGGCUAGAGAAAAGCAUUGGACAGAAUUUAAAGUCCAUAUCCCUCAGAAAGCAGCUUUUAUCCUCGUUGAUGUCCAAGAAAACCAAAGACAAUCUAUUGGCAAAUCUGAUGGAUGAUAUCAACAAUCUUAACUCUUUGUUUCAAAAAUGCUCAUUCUGUUUAGAUGUAGCAAAUGAUAAUAUAUGUAAAUCUGUUAGUACUUAUGUAGUAGGCAUUUGCGGUAAUGAGGAAUGGAACAAUCCUCAAGAUAUCUAACACUUUUAUAUAACCUGUUUGAGUCAUUGCUCUACAAGUGUAAAAUUUUUGGAUUUAUGAAUACAAUUCCUAUCGUUUCAAGGAAAAAAAAAAAGUGCCACUACUGAGUGUGUGGUUUAUGAAUUUGAUUUUGAUGUCAUUAGGUAUACAUCUUUGAAUUCCAUGCUAUUAAAGCAAUUUAUUCAUUUCUUCAUCACUAGUAAGAAAUCCCUUGAAAGAGAAAAACAUUAUUGAGUAUUAACCUCCGAGAAUUAACCUUGUCCACGAUCUAUAUCUAUUUGUGACGAUUGAGUACAUAAACUUCUAGGUUUUACCCAAUUUCGUUCUUGACCGAUAUUGAGCUCACUCUUAACCUAAAGAUGAAUGAUGUGUUGAAUGUGCGAGACUAUAAUGCAAAGUAGGUUCUUUCUUCUAGAACUGAAAUUUAUGGACAUAAAAUUGUGUAUUUGACAUACCACUUGGGUCAAAGUGACAUACAAAAGAAAUUUAGAAAAAAAAAUGCCAUGCAAGGGAUGCAAAUACCCAAAAUUUCAAUAGUUUAAGAGUGCAAAAGUUGUGUUAAAACUCUGAGUACGACUCUUUUUUGAUUAAACAAAAAAUUCAUUCCAUGAGAUGUGCAUUAAUAGCAGAAAGUACAUUAAACAUAUUAUAGAUACAACUACUCUGAAUAAUCACUGGACUUAACAGAUCUUAAAAAUAAUAAAAAUUACACUGUAAAGCUGCAACAAAUUAUGAGCAGCUCUAAGUACAAUUCUGAAUUAUGAGCAAAGAGGGUACAAAUUUCUUUGAAAUGUAUUAUCGUUUGUAAAGCUAAAGAUUGCUUUUUUAUUUCUUCUCUUCUUUAGAUAGUAAAAGAAGUGCAUAAGAUGAAACAAAAAUGAAAAAGUAAAAAAAAUAUGAUAGAUUAAGUCAUGGGGAUUGGGGAAACAUAAAAAAGCCCCUUAAAUCAUCCAUAAGAAAUGAAAUACAAAAUUAGGACAGAAGUCAAUAGAUCAAAAGGAACCAUCACUAUUUUCUCCUUUCUUAGCCAAAAUGUCCACAUACUAGUUAGGUUUUCCAAGAUUGUGCUUCAAACAAGCAUGUUCAAAUGUAAUUUAACAGCUCAUCGCAUACGUGAAAAAGUUCAUGAAAGGUCAUUAAAAUCUAAAUUUGACUGUAAACAUUUACUUCUUCUGAUGAUAUAACAUGCCUUGUCCAAAAUGCUGAAAUGUCACUAAUGAACAACUCAGGUGGUGUUUGGUAAGAGAGUUUCGAAAUGAAAAAUUGGAAUAAACUCCAUAAUUGUUGUUUGGAUUACUAUUAUCAAAAUUGAAAUUUUGGAAUCAUAUCUGAAAAUUUGGAAUUCCCUAAUUCUCUAAUAACCUGAAGGGUUUUGAACAAAACCUAAGUCUGAUUUUUAUUUAAUUUAUCAAAAACUAGGGAUAGCAAUUAAGGUGAAUGGGGCCGAGGGAGGGGGAAUUUUUUUUGCCCCAUUUAGAAUGGGACCCAUCCCGUCACCGGUUAAAAAAAUUAAUAUAUAAUUAUAUUUAUAUAAAAUUAUAAUAAUACAUAUAUUAUAUUUAUAAUAUAUUAUUAUGUACACGUAUAUAAUAUAUUAUAUAAAUAUAUAUUAUAAUUAUUUAAUUAAAUAUAAUUAUAAUAUAUAAUUAUAAUAUAUAAUAUAUAAUUAUAAUUAUAAUAUAUAAUUAUAAUUAAUUAUAAUUAUAAUUAUUUAAUUAAAUAUAAUUAUAAUAUAUAUUAUAUUAUAUAAUAAUAUAUUUAUAUUAUUUAUAAAUACAUAUUUUAUUUGCAUAUAUAUAAUAUUUAUAUGUAUAUAACAAUAUAUUAUAAUUAUAAUUAUAUAUAUUUAUAUUAUAAUAUUAGUAUACUUAUAUUUAAUUAUAUACAUAAUAUUUAAUUUAAUUAGUUAUAAACUUAUAAUAAUGAUAUUAUUAGUUAUAUGUAUUAUAUAAUGUAUAUUAGUAUAUGUAAUAUAAUUGAUAUUAUCAAUCAUACUAAUAAUUAUACAUGUUUACUAAUAAAAAUAAUUAAUUAGUUAUACUAAAUUUACUAAUACAUUUAAUUAAUAAAAAUUUCUUAUAUCCCAGUUCGAAAGAGUCUAUUCUAAACCCAGGAUGAAGGAUCCCAAAUCCGAAUCCGAUUUCAAUAUGCGAACAAAAUGCCACCUCAAUUUGCCCCACCUAUCUUAAAGUUUUCUAGUUGGAUUACAGGCUUAAAAAUUCAUAACAAUGAGUGAUUAGCUACCUUUCUUUUUUCCUUUUUUCCUUUAGCAUGCAUUGAAAAGAGAAAAGUGCCCAUUUGGAUUAUUGUUAUUUUCUGAUGUUUUUUUAUAGAAAAAUGUAUUAUAGCAAUUUGAUGUUUGUGAGAUAAAAAAAUGGUUAAAAAAUAGGGCAAAAAAUCGCGGUGGUCCUCUAACUUUCAACUUUGCGCACUUUUAGUCCUCUAACUAAUAAUUGCGCAAACGUAGUCCUCAAAUUUAAAAAAGUGUAUAUUUCUAGUCCAUCCGUCCAAUUUCGUUGUUAAGAUGGACAGAAGAGACAUCACGGACUACUCUCAUAACAUUUGUUGGGGGCACUAUGGUACAAAAAAUAACAAAGUCCCUCGAAAACAACAAAGUCCCUCGAAAGCUUCAAAGUUCGGACUAUUAGUGGAACUCCAUUUUCCAGAGAAACCUAAAUUACUCCUUGCAGUAACGAGAUUUGCAACAGAGAAAAAGACAAUCGGGUUUGAAGUCUGCCCAAAGGAAUGGUGGAAUGGAAAAUCAGGAGAAGGGGCGUCUACUUCAACCCCUAGUUAGUAUACGGUAAGUGCACUUAAACUGUACAAAGUUCUACAAAAAUGGUACAACAAUUGAUGGUUAUUUGUGUUACAGUGAUGGGUAAGUGAAUAGGAAAUUUUAUUUUGGUUGUGGGGUUGAAUGUGAGGGUGUUUUGUCUCAAAUAUGGGAGGAAAGUGGUCUCAUAUUUGGGUUCACUGUCUCUGUCUAUAAAUAAGCACUAGUGGUCCUGAAGCAUAUUUUUUUAAACUACUUUGUCUUGUUGAGUUAGCCUAAUUAUUUAAUUUCUAUUGUUAAUUAGUUUAGUAUAUAUUAUUUUAAUUGUGCCUAUUGACCUAGGUUUGGGAUUAUGGUCUUUUAUACACAAAAUUAAUGAGUUAAUUAACUAGUUACCAAAUUAAUGAUUACUCGUAAUUGUUAAUAUACAUGCAGGAUCUGAAUGAUUUACUAUAAGAAUGCAUCACAGGGGAAAUAUUCGUUGGGAAAGUUACAUAAGUUAUGUUGGUGGUGAUGUGGACGAUGUAGACUUAUGUGAUUGUGAACGGAUGUCAAUUCAUGAACUGAAUCAAAUGGUAGAAGAGUUAGGUCAUAUUCAGGAAACCAUAAUGUAUUACUAUUUUGAACCAACUAAAGAUCUUAAUAGUAGGUUAAGGGAAUUGUGUACAGAUGCUGAUGUAAACAAAUUUUGCAACUUGGCUUAUGAACAUAAAGUGAUGGAGGUUUACUGUAACCACUUAACAAUUGAAGAAAUUGAUCAAGUUUUGAUGGAGGCUGCUGGUAGGGGUAAUUCAGUAGAGCGGAAAAAAUAUGGUGUGGUAAUCGAAGAACUAGAUAAUGAAGGUAAGGUGGUUACGGAACCAUGUUUACAAAUGGUACGUAGUGGAGUAGGGACAUCACAGUCAACUUGACAAACUGUUGACAAUAACACUGGGCAGACUUCAGCACAACCAUUAAGGGACAAUGGAGGUCAUGUUGAAAAUCCAAGGAAUGAACAGAGCACUACACAUGAGGGGUCUGGAACUACACAUGAGGGCACUAUACAUGAUGGUGAAGUUGCAUCUGAAUCAGAUGCUGAAGUAGAGAGGUUUCCUUGGGAUAAUGAUUAUUGUGGAGAUGAACAGCUUCUUUAUAACCUCAUUAGAGAAGGAGACCAGCAGCAAUUGGAUACAAGAGGUGAACAACAGCAUGAUACAUCUGAGAGGUCUUCGCAGGCUAGAAACAAGCAUCAGCAGUCUAAAAACCAAGUAGGAGCUGAGCAACAACCCCAACAGCCCUCUAUUCAGCAGAUAACCAACAAUCAGCAACCACAGCAGCCAAAAAAGGGGAAGAAACAAGUGAGGAGAAGAAGAGAGAAACCUGUAGAUGAAGGUCCUGAGAGGCAGACAAAUGCAUUGGAUGAAGAUUAUGUACCAGAUCACUUAAGCAGUGAUUAUAAUUCAUCAGACGAAGAUGAGAACCAGUUUGAAGGCAGAUACAAGAGAUUUGUAUGGGAUAAAUCCAUGAUAGACCCCAAGUUUGAAUUGGAGAUGAAAUUUGAGUCAAGGCCACAAUUCAAGGCAGUAGUGACCGACUAUGGUAUCAAGACAGGUAAACCAGUCUGGACAUGUAAAAAUGAUACCAAAAGGGUGAGAACUGUUUGUAGAGACUCGUGUCCUUGGUUUGUUUUUGCAUCAAUUGAGAGGGCCCUUGGUACAUCAGAUUUGGUGGUAAAGACAAUGCAUGAUGUGCAUGAGAAUUGCAAUCACACUUGGAAGAAUAAAAACAUGACUUCUACGUGUGUGACAACUCGUAAAAUUUCUUAUAUUUUUCUUAAAAAUUUUCUUUUAUUUGGAAAUUAUUACUUUAUAAUGGCCCUACUACCCAAUCACCCCACAAUAAGUGUAAAUGAACAUAGAAUUAAGGAUUUUUCCUUUCGUUUUCAAGUUAUCGAAAAUUAGUGUUUUUACGCCUAUCCGUAGUGUGACUAUCCGGUACAGAGGGUGGAUCAAAUUUGGUGAUUAAGAGUGAGUUUUAGUGAUAUUAAAUGUGUGAUUAGAAGUGAUAAUAAUAAGUUAGUGAAUUAUAAGUUAAAAUCCUAGUAUACGCGAUUUAAGAAAAAUCGGCUCGAACCGACGGGUAUCGUUUGCUACCGAUUGAACCCACCAUUUGACCACCAUUUUUAUCAAGUUAAUCUCAUUGUUAUUGGAGCUUAAAUAUCAGCUCUAAAGCUGAUCAAAGUGGCCGAAAAUUUUGACCAAGGAAAAUAAAAAAAAUUGAGAUGGAAAUUGGUAGUGAUAAGUAGCACUAAUCCAAGAACCUUUGACCCAAACUAUGACUAAACCUUAAAACCAUCUUGGAGCUUCAUUCUUCUUUAUUUUUUUCAGCUUGUGGCCGAACCUAGGAGAGAAAAAAAGAAGAGAAAGAACUUCAAUUUCAUCUUGGGUUUUGCUUGAUUGAGUGAGAAAAACAAAAUUCUAAACCGAUUAAAUCUUUCUUUGAGCACUUGGAAAGUUUGGUGUGUAAAAGGUUACAAGGAGAGGUGGUGGAUAACUCUUCCAAGCAUCUUUGAGAGGUAUAUUGGCUGCCACAUUUAUUUCCCUUAAUCUUGUUUAAGUUGAGUAGUAACUUGUAAUCUUGCUUGUGAUGCCUAAGUCAAGUGAUUUUGAUGAUUGAGGUGAUGAAUUUUGAGUUAGGGUUUUGAAUAAUUCACUUAUAAUUCUUUCGUUUGGAUGGUAUAUGGUAUAUAUAAUCUUGUAUAGGAGGUUGUAGUAGUGAUUUAAGCUAGAAAGGUGAAAUUAUACUUUGAACUCCUUAAAUUCCAGAAAUGAAACUCUUCACUGCCCUGUUCUGUUCGGUAAGGUUUGACCAUGAGAGAGGCUGAAUUAGCCUUAGCACAAAACAUGAAAGUUGUAGAUAAUGAUAUUUUAUAGCUGUCUGUAAAAUUUCAACUCAAUCCGAGCACUAUAACACAUGAAAAGAUAAAAAUACCCCUGACUACCAUAGGUAGAGUUUUGUGACAGUUUUGACAUUUCACCAAUCUGACCGCGUCUGUUCACCCUGAUCCAUACUGAAUUAGUAUUUGGCCAAAACGCAGAAGUUGUAGUACUAUGUCUUAGCUUUCUAACAGUCCUGAAAACGCCUUAAUCAGACUUCGAUAACUUGAGUUAUUGUCGUUUACGCAUAGUGCGGUUAACUAGCCCGAAUAUGAGAUUCUGGUUCUGUAAUUUGAAUUUUUGACCUGGAUACACUACGAACUGGACUGAGUGGUCUUCAUCAAAGUUGUAGGCCUUUAUUUUAGCUUCAAAACGAUAUAAAUUGUACCCUAAUUCGAUAAGCGUAGCUUCGAUUGUGCCCGUUACGCUAAGCGACGGCAAAUCUGUCUUUUGUUUUCUGACUUAAAUUUCAUUUUCGGACAUUUUCCUACCUUGAAUUUGUGCUUGUACGACUUUGAUCCUAUUGAACGGCUAUGGAAAUGAGAUUAUUUUGUGUGUGAUUUUGGGACUGAUUGAGAAAAAGAGUGAAGCCAUAAAUUGAUGUAAAAUAGGUAAAUAUAAAGGGCGUGCCGCCCAAAUUUACGCUCGAGAGUUAGGUAGAUAUACUUGCGACUCAAGUAAAGCUUGAGAGCGAAUACCACGUGAACCAUCUAGGCUAUUGCGUUUUCUUUUAUCGAGGUAUAUAAAUUAGAAUUUGGCCGAACUUGUACCCUUCAAAAAUGAAAGUAAUUAUCGAUAGAAAUACGUUUUCCUCGUUCUUUCGACUCCAAUAGGAGUUCUAAAGUUUUAACCGCUUCUUUAUCGAAACUAAACGAGCGAGCAUAAAUUUUUCAGAAUUUGAUAAGUAUCUUGAAUACUACUUAAACGAGUUGCAUUUACUUAAUUUUUUUGAAACGAAACUCCUAUGUUUCGAAUUCUAGAGAGUUUUACAUUCGUAAAUGAUAUUUUAUCGCAGAUUUGGACUCCAACCAAAGAGUUGGACUUGAACGUGACUUUUGAGAGGCACUAGACCUUUAGUGAGUGCUUCCAAAUACCUGAUUGAACAGGACACUUGUUGUCAAUACUUGAUCAAUGUAAAUACAUGAUAUGUGAUUUGUUUGAUCGGCCAAGAGUGUACUUUAUCACACUUGUCCUAAUAUGGUAUAUACUUAUUUAUUAUUGCAAUUAACGUGAUAUACUUGUACUUGAGUUGUAAGUGUGGAGCGGCAGUAUGUACUACACUCAAUCCGAGUAGGAGGUGCCUCUCAUUCCCGUCUCCGUACUUUUAUUUUGAUUCAGUCGAUUGGAGAUGUUAUCUCAUCGAAUUCUUGGAAACCUAAACCCCAUUGACUAAUUAAUCGAGUCGAGCCGGCAAGGGUUUGGUCAAUUAGAUAACGAACCAUGGGUAGUUAGUGAUGUCCAGUGGAGUGUUAUCUUUUCGACUAAUCGGUAUACUCGAGUAUUAUCACCAGUGUUUAUCGUAGAGUUCGGGCCCGAUAAUGGAUUUGGUUGGUGGACGGAGAUUGGAGUUAAGUGGUGUACUACUGGACUAGUUACUUUACUUGAAAGUUGACGGAGUGUCAACUAAUACUUGAUCAAGUUCUGGUGAAGAAAUGGGAAUUCGGCUCCUGAGAGCCAUCUGUAUCCUUAUACAUUGAUUGUUAUUCAAAGUGUUAUUGUUGUUUUGGAAAACUAGGGAUGUACGCGAGUCGAGCUACUCGCGAGUAGCUUGGUCAACGGCUUGGCUCGAACUCGGGUUGACCGAGUUCCAGCCGAGUUUCGAGUAGCUCGAUUGGCGUUCGAGUCUCAAAUUUUUGGCUCAAGACUUGUCGAGUAGAUUGUCGAGCCGGGCUAUUUAUAUAAUAUAUUUAUAAUUUAAAUAAUAUAUAUGUAUUAUAAUUAUAAAAUGACUAUUAUGGAUAUAGGUUAUAUGAAAUUUACAAUAUACUCUUCUUUAUAAUAAAAUUUUAUAAGGGUAAAAAAAUAAUAACAUAAUUAUAAAAAUACCUAAAAAGAAAAAAUGUCUAAAAAAUGCCUCAAUUUUUUGGUCGAGUCGAGUCAAAAAACUUGAUUAGACUCGGUUUGAUAAGACUUGACUAAGGGUCGAGCCUUAUCGAGUCGAGUUUCGAGCUUAGAGCGAGUACAUCGAGUCAAAUUUCGAGUAUCAAUUUUUUUGACUCGAUCGAGAUCGAGUUGAGCUCGAGCCUAGGGAUAUAUGAGUCGAGUCGAGCUUGAGUAUAGCAUUACUCGAGUUUGACUCGGCUCGAUUACAUCCCUAUGGAAAACAAAAAGAGUUUUCACUCGCUCAUUUUGACAUUUGCUAUUUGAAGUGUUAUUGCUCACUUUCAUGAACUUGUUAUACUCACUAUUUUGCUACGUGAUAUUUGUACUUUUCAAUAAUGGUCAACUUGCUAUUUGGAACCUCACUGGGCUUUUAGCUCAUUUCACGCCAUUUAUUUUCCUUACAUGGGGUACGAGCGAGACGUGAGACUUGUACAGACUAGCGUAGUCUAGUUUUUUUUUUAUUUUGAUAUUGUACUCACGCCAACACCCGUCUAGGGUUGAUUUUAGUUUGGUUAUAAAUAAUUUAACGUUUUGGGCAUAUAUAAAUUUGUAGCUGGAUUUGAACAUCAAUGUAUAUGUAAAGUUUGAGAUUGUUGUUUCAUUUCUUCUCUAUGGACGCGGUAUCUUUCUCGAGUUACGCGUGAGUGAGUCCUGACGAGAGUUGGGCAGGCGGUCCGCUAAACCCUGGGGUACGCCUUAGGGGGAGGUGGAGUCGUCACAACGUGGCUAUCCAAUAGGUAUAUGGAGAUAAUCAAGUCUAACACAAAAAUGCCCGUUAGGGAGUUUAGGCAAACUGUUUAUGAGGAUUAUGAGGUUGAGAUUUCUAAAUGGGUGGCUAGAAAAACAAGAGCCAAGACUAUACAGCUUAUUAAGGGGUCUGCAGAGGUACAAUACAAGAAAAUUUGGGAAUAUUGCAAUGAGAUAAAGAAGACACGUGACGGAAGUAUUAUGGAGGUCAUGUUUACCCCAUUCAGACUGCCUACAAGUAAUCCAAGAUUCAUGCGACUAUACUGCUGCCUUAGGCCACUUAAGCAAGGCUUUAAGGAUGGUUGUAGGCCUAUUAUAGGCUUAGAUGGAUGCCAUCUAAAAGGCACUUAUCCAGGACAAUUACUUACUGCUCUUGGAGUGGACCCUAACAAUGGUUAUUGGCCAAUUGCAUGGGCAGUUGUGGAGAAAGAAGCCACAGAACAAUGGAAAUGGUUUCUGAAGUUGUUGAGUGAGGAUUUGGAAAUAGAAAACCAAUACCACUACACUUUUAUCUCUGACCAACAAAAGGUUAUGCACUAUAUCAUUGUAAUCUGGUUUCUAUCGUCAAGUUAGGUGUUUACUUUUCUAUUUAUAUUGUAAGGACUGGACAGAACAUUAGUUUAGGUGCUUCCAAAACUGUGAGCACCGAUAUUGUGUGCAGCAUUUAUAUAAAAAUUUUAAGAAAAAACAUUCAGGAGACGCGUCGAAAGAGAGAUUUUGGAAUAUUGCAUAUUGUACUACAUCUAAGCACUUCAAUGAGGCAAUGUCAAACCUUGAGAUGUAUGACAAGGAAGCACAUAGCUGGGUGAAAAAGGCACCUCAUCCUCGGCAUUGGUGCAAGACAUUUUUUCCAAUUCAUACCAAAUGUGAUAUACUAGUAUAUCUUUCAAUGAUAUACUAGUCACUAUAUCAUUGUAAUCUGGUUUCUAUCAUCAAGUUAGGUGUUUACUUUUUUAUUUAUAUUGCAGGGACUGGACAGAACAUUAGCUUAGGUGCUUCCAAAACUGUAAGCACCGAUAUUGUGUGCAGCAUUUAUAUAAAAAUUUUAAGAAAAAACAUUCAGGAGACGCGUCGAAAGAGGGAUUUUGGAAUAUUGCAUAUUGUACUACAUCUGAGCACUUCAAUGAGGCAAUGUCAAACCUGGAGACGUAUGACAAGGAAGCACAUAGUUGGGUGAAAAAGGCACCUCAUCCUCGGCAUUGGUGCAAGACAUUUUUUCCAACUCAUACCAAAUGUGAUAUACUAGUCAAUAACCUUUGUGAAUCUUUCAAUGCUCAUAUCCUUGAAUUCAGAGAUCAUCCUAUAAUUUCACUACUGGAGACUAUCAGAGAAUAUAUUAUGGAUAGGAUUCAACAAAGAAAGGCAGCCAUGGAGAAAUGUAAAGGUCCUAUUGGACCAUUGCCCACCAAAAUUGUUGAUGAGAGGGUGAAGCAUUCAACUCACUGGAAUCCUAUUUGGAAUGCUGCUGUUGGUUAUCAAGUGAAGAGCCCUAAAUGAAACCAAUAUGAUGUAGACCUAAAAAAAAGGCAUUGCACGUGCAAAUUGUGGGCCGUAAGUGAAAUUUCUUGCUGUCAUGCAAUAGCAGCAAUUCAUAGGAAUAAUGGAAAUUCUUAUAACGAAGUUGAAGGUUGCUACAAUGCAGAUCUAUUUUUGAAGAUAUAUUGUAAUAUCUUCGAACCAAUUAGUGGUGAAAUUUUAUGGCCCCCAUCCAUCAUGUCUAUAUUGGACCCACCACUCACUGUUGCUCAACCUGAGAGGCCAAGAAAGGCUCGAAAGAGAGACAUCACAAAAGGAAAAAAUCAUGGUAGAAAACUGAGAAGGAGAAUUGUUAUACAUUGUAGAAAGUGUGGAAAGGUAGGUCACAAUACAGCUACAUGCUGCAAAGAAGGGUCUACUCAAUCUAAUCAAGUAGAAGAGGAUACUGAUAUUGGUGUACAUACUCCACAGGGUGCAGAAAAUUCUAAAAGUCCAAAGUCUUCUACGAGGCCAUCUAAAAGGCAGACUGUAAGUGUAUAGAAAUUGUGGUAUAUAUGAAAUGGUAGAUUAAAAUCUUACUUUUUGCUAUUUGCUGCCAUUGACAGGUUAGAAAGGACCAGUAAAAGAAGAAAAAAAGAAAUGUGCAGCGAUGAUCUCCUCAAGUUGACGAGGCAUAUGAGCAUCAACGUUCGGGAUUUGAAUUUGAACACCAACAUGAGCAUCAGAAGAGACACAUCAACAACAAGUGGAUCAGCAAGACCACCAAUCAUCAUUCCAGCAUGGCGCUAAUCUUCAAGAACAGCAGGCCUCUUGUAGCAUUCCUUUAACACAGAAACUACCUCAUAAGAGGCAGAAGCAGAAAAAUUCAACAAACCAGCCUUUAACAGAUAUUGAUAAAGGAUUUAUCAAUCUAAACUACACAUAUUUUGGCAGGCAACCUCCCUACCUCCCUUCACUAUUGGGAAUUGGAAGGGAAAAUGGAGUGGCAGGGGCAGAGGAAGAGCUGGUAGAUGAAGGGGAACUGGAGGUACAAAAGGAUAGACAGCAGCUUAAUACAACAACACCCACUGUUUUGCAAACCUAGCAGUACUUUAUUAUUGGAUCUUUUUUGACUGGGAAACGUCUUUUGUCUUUUGUAAUAGACAGCUUUUAACCAAGUAAUGGUUUUGUCCAACUGCUUAGCUUUUUCUGUAUAAGUGGAUUAGUUUUUUGUCUACUAAUUGUUAAAUGGUCAAGCUUGACUAUUGUUUUGACUGCUAUGUUGGAUGGUAUCCACUUGUAAAUGCAUAUAACAGGGCAUUUUGUUUUGUUUUGUUUUAUUCUGGUUUCUACUAUUAUUUUUAGCACUCAUUCAAUGUCAAUUGGAUGGUACAAUUUUUGUUGGAUGGUACCCACUAUUUUCUCUUGUAAAGCUAUGUUGGAUGGUACCCAUUGUUUUAUUCUGUUUUGUCUACUAAUUGUUAAAUGAAUGUCGUCUUCAUGUGUGGCUGCCAACCUGCCAUUACAAUUUCACAGCUACACCAGUUUAGAUCAAACUUCAUUCUAUUACUUCCAUUCUUCCAAAAGCAUAGAGUACAAUUCAACUGCAUAUUCGUUAGCCUAGCUAACACUACAAAAGGCCAAUACAGUGUGGCAAGAUUACAACACAAUUUUUACAUUAUCUUAAAAUCAGAUUACUCCAUCAGCAACUUGAUAGAUACAAUUUUCACAUGAACACAAUUUUCGUAGAGCUUCUUCAAUUUGCAGCAUUCCAGAAGUCCAUCUUUCAUCUCGAGGCCAAACCACCAUUAAUAAGAUUAAAACCCAAGAGAGUACCAGUAGUCUUACAAGCCACUUCCUAAUAUGCUUUUGUCUCGCCAAGUCGUGCUCCAUGUCCUUCACUUUCACCUUCAACUUUGCAGCUUUUGACUCCAAUUUGGUUAGUACAAUUUGCAAUUCAUCCUUUGGUUGCUCAGUUGCAUUCACCUUUCUUAGAAGAUCGGGUAUCACCUCAAUUGAGUGACGACACAUUUUCCCAUCGAUCCAAUCCCAACACUCGCAACCCCCAUCUGCUUAUACUGCAUACCUCCUGCCAGGAUUUCGAGAUGUCCACGAAGUCACCAUCUUUAUCGAUUUACCGUAGGGGCACAUAGGGAGAGUUGGAGUGUUCAAUCUCCUGAUUUUCGGCUCAAUUGAGACCAAAAAUCUACUAGUACCACUCCUACAAGUUUCAGAUGGAGUGAAAAUGGAGAAGAAGGAGAUUUUUAAGGCAAGUCCCUCUGCUGUGUUGACAAGAUUGCCCCUAACAAAUAUUAUGAGAGUAGUUCGUGAUGUCUCUCCCGUCCAUCUUAACAGCAAAAUUGGACGGAUGGACUAGAAAUAUACACUUUUUUUAAUUCGAGAAUUACAUUCGCGUAAUUAUUAGUUGGAGGAUUAAAAGUGUGUAAAAUUUAAAGUUGGAGAACCACCGCAAUUUUUUGCCCUAAAAAAUAUAUUCACAGAAAAAGCGAGAUUAGAUCUAGAAGUUGCAUAUGCAAGGUACUAGUAUAACUUACUCAAAAGUCUCUUUAAACUUUACAUAGUUUGUAGAGUGACACUUUUAAUUGUAUACUUUUGGCACUUUUAAUCAUAUAAUUUAAAUUAUAACUAAUUAUUAUACAUCUAACCCCACUUUUGUAAUCAAAUUAGGUGGUGAACUUUUCAAGAAUUUAGUGUUACCUUGCCCCCCAAAAAAAAAUAGAAUUUAAAGGAAAAGCAUAGUGCCUUUGAAGCCAAAAGGCAAGCAUGGUGCCUUUGAAGCCAAAAGCCCAUUUACAUGACUUCAUAAGGAGGGAGGAAGCAGAGUCGCCAACAAAAUCUCAUCAUCCCAUUUUUCCCGCCUAUCCGCCCUUUGUAUUUAAAAAACCCUUCUUCCCCGCCUCCUCCUUCUUAUGCUUCAUUCUAGGGUUUCUCGAUUCCUCUCUCUCUCUCUCUCUCUCUCAUAACCUGUAAGCUACUCAUCUGUUUGCUGAAAAAUGAAAUCCAGAAUCCGAAUCUGCAGCAGCAUCAGAUCACCGCCAUCCACAUUCUGCAGAUACUACUUGAAGCCCGGAGCAUUAGCCCAAUUCAGGAAUUCCAAAAUCACCGCCAAAUUCAAAGCAAAAGAAAAUUUGAAUUUUACCCAGAUUUCACUCUACAAACUCAAACCCACCUCUGAAUUGACCUUGCGGCCAUCUAUUUCCGACAUGGAGGCGAUUCCUUGUUUCACUUUUAGCUUCAAGAAUAACCGCAGUGCUCCUCGCUGCCUUCUCCGGAAGAAACUCAUCGCUGUCACCCCGAUAUUUUCCGAGUUGUAGUCGGAAACUUGAGUUGGGAUCUCUAAUUUCUUUUGUUCAUUUUUUUAUCCAUUAUCGGUUGUGAUUGUAGUAGCAAAGCUGAAAUUACAGUAAUCAUUAUACUAAAAAAAAUACCAUAUGUAUGAUGUAGAAACUCAAAAAUUAAUAAAAAAAAGUACUGUCUUUCUUCUUUCUUUUUUGAAUAUGGGUUGUUCAUUGGCAGUUAUCACCUAUGUUUAUAGUGGAUUGAUUAUAGAAGUAAUUCGUGCGGAACUCAGUUUUGUUUAAAUUUUUUUUCUCUUGUGGGUGACGGGUUUUAAAUCAAAUGAAGAACGAUGUCUAUGUUGGAGAGGUUUGAUAUUUUGCUUGUUUUAUUUUUACUAGUGCAAUGUGGAAAUGCCUAAGGUGUGUAAGUGUCCUACUUAGGGUAAUUUAAAUGGAUCAUCAAAUAGCAAUUUCUUCUCGUUCUGAUUUUCCCAGGCCUGGCAAGCAUCGAAUCACUAAUAGGACAAUGGAGCAAAGUAGAGGGUUUAAUUGACUUUGAGUUUCCUUAAUACAGGACUCUCAGCUCUCAAACACUCCAGUUAUGUUUGUACAGGAUAAGCUCAUUAAUAUAAAAGAAGACCAGUAUCAGUUUUUUUUUUUUUUUUUUGUCAAAAUGUCGCUUACUUUUCUAUUAAUAGUUAAUGCCUUUACAACAGUAUACAAAAGGGUGCAACUGCUCCAUCAGAACUGUGAUGCUCCUUUGAGCCACAGGGGGAAGGUUCUUUCCCACUUAACAUCAUGUAUCAGUUUGGUUGCAAAUUUUGCAAGCUUAAAACUAACUCUAUCUUCCUGCUGACUAACUAAUGAGAAUUUACACUUCCAAAAGGAUGCUUGAAGUUGCUUUAUAUCUCUGAUGAUUACUGCUAGCUGGGAUUCAUCUUCAGCAUCUUCAUUCAGUCUAUCUAUCAAGGCUUUACACUCAGAUUGGAUCUCUAAAGAAGCCCACUGUUUCUCCAUUGCAUAUAGCAGUCCUGCACGAAUUGCUAAAGCUUCAGUUAAGAUCCUAUCUCCACUGAAAGUCAAAGGAAUCGCCCUUGUCGCUGUUGGCUUCCUACUGUUAUCUCUGACUACUAUGCCUAAUCCUGCCUUUUUCCUCACUCUAUCAACAGCUCCACAGGUGGACAUUUUCAUAGCUCCUGGAAGCCCAGUAUCAGUGGCUGGAUAAUCUUUUAAAGGAUUUGAUUUGUUUCUUGGACAAAACUGCUAUAGACCUAAAGCUUUUCUGGCUCUUUCAUCUCCAGACUACAAAAUUAUCUUAGUCUGCUAAAGUCUGAACUAGAAGUUGAGGAGAAAUAUCUUGCUGUCUGUCCCAGAUAUUUCCUCCUUUGUGUCCUUUUUUCAGCUACAAGCCGAUGUUUCGUUUACAACUUGUAUUGUGGAUAUUCAUUAGUUUGUUGCCCAUGGUAUUUGCAUUUGAAGCUAGUUUGAGAUGUCUUAAUGAGCUCCAUGUCACCAUCAACAGCUCAUUAAAAGCUAAUUAUGCAAGCGGCACAAUGCGACUAGUCAUGAAAAGUUCAUUCGUUUAGCAUAUUUGCUAUUUAACUCUGUAGCUACUGGGAUCUCUAAUAAUAAUGUCUAUAGUUUGGUUUGAUGCUAAUGAAACCAAAGUAAGAAGAAGGCUCAUAUGUCCUCGAGAAAUUGGCAGAGCAAAUCAAUUGAUAGUAGCAGUAUCGAGAUGUUGCUGCAAGUUAUUUCAGCCAGCAGCCUGGGAGGUAACAUACAUAAAGGCUACACCCCAAAAAUGGUCCAGUCUCAUGGUGGCAUGGGAGCUUCCAGAAGGAAUGGCAGAAAUUGAAGAUACUUGAUUUUCUUCACAUACUAGGAAAAGAGCCAUUUUUCCAACAGUUGUACUCUGCAUUUUUCAAAGUUAAGCUAGGAAGAAGUAAAGUACAGAGCAAAUUAUCUAAGACUACCUCAUAGCAGCCAAGAGCAUAUGAGUUUAGAUUAUCUGAAUAAUUAGCUUUCAAGCUGACUUGAGAUGAACUAUUGUGUAAUCAUAAUGACAUCUUUUGUAGAUAUAGGUCCCAGAAAAAUGAUCAAGCUACUGGACAUAAAAAUGAAUUUCAUAUGGUGAAUGUUUUACAUAUAAACUGAGAUCUCAUGCCACGAAGUAAACUAACCAUCAGAUGAAGAAAAAAAAAUGCCCGGUGCAGUGUCAAGUAAUUCUGCUGUUUCUGUAGCAGUAGAUUUAUGAAAACAAUUUAAAAUGUCCUAGCGAUCAAGAAAAUAUGUUGAGCUAAAACUUUCUGAAUUAAUAUAAGAGGUAUUACACAAGAUGACUCAAAAAUAAAAGUUUCAAAGAUGCAGAAACACUCUCAUGUCUCCAAAAUACAUUGUGGUUCUCAUAUUGCAUGAAGUUUGUAUGUGGUUGGAAGUUACAACACGAAACUGUCUACUCUACUUUACAGUUCUUAAAUAAGCAUAGUUUGAUGAAAAUGGAAUUUUCAACAAAAAUACCUAUAGUGAAGCACAAUCAUGGGAGACAAUUAGAAUGCUCAAGUCAAAGCUUUGGCUCCAGCAACAAUUUCCAAUAUCUCUCCUGUAAUCUUGGCCUGACGCUCUCUGUUGUAGGCUAUAGACAGGGAUUUCUUCAAUUCACUAGCAUUGUCAGUCGCAUUGCUCAUUGCAGUCAUCCUAGCAGCAAGCUCACUAGCCAGUGACUCCUGCAAUGACCUCAAAAUUUGACUAUUUAAGUAAAGAGGGAGUAAGGCAUCAAGGAUCUGAACAGGGUCCUGCUCAAAUUGCAAGAUCGCCGAAAACUCUGCUGUUUUAGUCCUCAUAAUGUCUCUUUCCACUGUCAAUUUGCCUUCCUUGGUUGUCAAUCUGAAGAACUCAUCCUCGGCUGCAUCAACACAGUUCCCAUUUAUGUCACAGAUCUCUCCUUUUGGAGACAACGGAAGCAGAGUGUGAAUCACUGGUUCGGCCUUCACUAAUGAAACGAACUUAGUGUACAAAAGCUCUACCUUAUCCACCUCUUCACUUAUGAAAAGGGAGAAGACAUCAUCUGCAAUUGCUUGAGCUUCUUUAGCAGUGGGAAGAGAAGUACCAUCAAGAAAUCUGUCUACCGGAAUAUAAGGCCUGCGGAUAAAAUAUGCGUUACCCUUUUUCCCCACACUGAUUAUAGUGUAAUCAAGGCCAAGUCCCUUCAAUUCUGCUA
Molecule: long non-coding RNA, 29581 nt
Filed under: Coffea arabica (coffee)
Lineage: Eukaryota; Viridiplantae; Streptophyta; Magnoliopsida; Gentianales; Rubiaceae
Description: long non-coding RNA (CARA_LNC006433)
Source: RNAcentral